RNAcentral lists this unclassified non-coding RNA (543 nucleotides) under Dittrichia viscosa. RNAcentral describes it as "contains 3 external transcribed spacer, ETS". Lineage: Eukaryota; Viridiplantae; Streptophyta; Magnoliopsida; Asterales; Asteraceae. The record is from RNAcentral.
GCAUCCUGGGAGCUGUCGAUUGGUUUGUUUCCGGUGGAUGGCUCUCUGCUUUUGCAACAACUUCCACCUGGCAUUCCUUUCAUUUCUGCGUCAAGGUUGCAUUUCCUUGAGCGCUUAUGGUUUCCUGUGUUGCCUACCUACGUGACGGUAUUGUUUGAUUACAUCAAGUCGUGUUUCAUCAUGUGUCAUCUGUAUGGCGUAGGAUGAACCUCGAAGCUGCUUCUAUGAUCCACCUUGGCGUUGCAUAUGCUUGACGUUGUGGCUUUGAGUUUUGCUUGGUUUUCUGGAUGCAGAACAUGAUAUGGGUGUGGGUCUUCGCGAUCCUUGUUUUGCCCUUGUUGAACGUUGUUAUUACUCCGAGAUGACUGCUUACCCGAAUUGGCUCGUACCACCGGGGUAGGUUGCGUUGUUGAAGAGCAAUACUGGCGUUCUUGCUUCUCUAAAACAGACAGCCUCGCCUUGAUGGCUCGUACCAGCGGGUGGGCUAUGUCGAAGAGGGAUGCUACCUGGUUGAUCCUGCCAGUAGUCAUAUGCUUGUCUCAA